Molecule: long non-coding RNA, 272 nt
Filed under: Nicotiana benthamiana
Lineage: Eukaryota; Viridiplantae; Streptophyta; Magnoliopsida; Solanales; Solanaceae
Description: long non-coding RNA (NBEN_LNC023005)
Source: RNAcentral
AAGAAUUACCUCAACGUUUUAUUUAAUCCUGCAGCUUGUACAGAAGAGCACUGCUCGAUUGAUGUUCAAUGACUUUAUAAGGAAUGCUAGGUGCGUUGCAAAUCUUCAGUAUGAAUGUAUUCGCCUUUUAUUUCGUAAAUGGAAUUCAGUUGACUGAUCUUCUUUGAUUUUUCAUGUAUGAAAGGAAUUGUUUUCUAUUUUGUAUACGGAAUUCAGUUGACUGAUCUUCUUCAAUUUUGCAUUUGCAGUUCCAUUGAUGAGUCUGCUAAAGA